AACGAACGCUGGCGGCAUGCCUAACACAUGCAAGACGAACGAGACCUUCGGGUCUAGUGGCGCACGGGUGCGUAACGCGUGGGAACCUGCCCUUAGGUUCGGAAUAACUCCCCGAAAGGGGUGCUAAUACCGGAUAAUGUCUUCGGACCAAAGAUUUAUCGCCUUUGGAUGGGCCCGCGUUGGAUUAGCUAGUUGGUAGGGUAAAAGCAUACCAAGGCGACGAUCCAUAGCUGGUCUGAGAGGAUGAUCAGCCACACUGGGACUGAGACACGGCCCAGACUCCUACGGGAGGCAGCAGUGGGGAAUAUUGGACAAUGGGCGAAAGCCUGAUCCAGCAAUGCCGCGUGAGUGAUGAAGGCCUUAGGGUUGUAAAGCUCUUUUACCCGGGAUGAUAAUGACAGUACCGGGAGAAUAAGCUCCGGCUAACUCCGUG
This 433-nucleotide ribosomal RNA is filed under the name uncultured bacterium. RNAcentral's name for it is "partial 16S ribosomal RNA". It matches the Rfam family "Bacterial small subunit ribosomal RNA", at positions 29 to 507 of the family's 1533-position model. The record is from RNAcentral.